CGCGUGCGGUUGUGCAAAGAACUAGUAGUGAACAACUAGCGAAUCUGGCGGAAAGACAUGCAAACGGCUUUUGACAGUUCUCGCGUGGAGCAAUUUCCACGAAUUUACUCGCGCAGUUUUUGUGAAAAAUCCGGAAAAUAGUGAAGAAAGUUCUUUAAAAACAAGUGCAAAGGUGUGAGAAAACUCUUAAUGAUAGAUCUUAGUGGUGGCAAGUGAAAAAAAUGAUGUGCAUUGUGAGAAAUUGCAAAAACAGCGACCAGCGAAAUCCUCUGGGGGUGUCAUUCCACAGAUUUCCAGUAAUUUUAGAACUGUGCGCAACUCGUCUGAAGCUCUCAGUUGCACUUGUGGACCGAAAUAAAGCCGUAUGCAGCCUCCACACUUCAAUCCAUAAAAUAUUUCACGGAAAAGUGCCUCAAAAGUGAAGCGCUCGAAGUACGUGCGAUCCUUUGCUAAAGACUCCCUACCAAUCGCAUUCAUUGGUACCACAUCUUUUGAUGGAAAGCAAUAUGCAGAACUACUUGAGUGUGACCAUCUCUGUUCUCACAUGUCACGAUAGAGCCUAUUUUUAUUUUAGAUGGACACAGUCAAUGAGAAUGGAUAUGCAACAUCAUACGGUGUAAGAAAUCCAGGCAAAGGACACAUGAAGAUGUCAAUCGUAUUACCAAAGCUGAUUCGAAAUAAGUUUUGAAAGUAUUAUAGAAACAAAUUCUACUCCAAUGCAACGAAUAAGUUAGAGUUAGCAAUUAUGUUUUAUUAUUUCUUACUAUUUUUAUGCAGAAUUAAGAAAAAUGAUGGACUUGAUCUUUAAUUGUUUCGAAUAAUUAUAAAAAGUAAUGAUUUUAUCCUAAUUUAUAGAUAGCUAUUUUUAAAAUAAAUUUAUUCUCUAUUAAAA
Phlebotomus papatasi is the source of this 892-nucleotide long non-coding RNA. RefSeq lists it as uncharacterized. The record is from RefSeq and is a predicted model, not a curated record. The transcript has 3 exons. Lineage: Eukaryota; Metazoa; Arthropoda; Insecta; Diptera; Psychodidae.